Molecule: non-coding RNA, 443 nt
Organism: Misgurnus anguillicaudatus (oriental weatherfish)
Lineage: Eukaryota; Metazoa; Chordata; Actinopteri; Cypriniformes; Cobitidae
Source: RefSeq, a predicted model, not a curated record
GUAAUGGUAAGUUAAAAUGGCUUUUUAAUUAGUUAAUUGAACAAAAAAUUUAAGGCAGCAAUUUUUUUUUACAGUGUACUGUGGAAGUCAAUAGUGCCCCAAAUCUGCUUGGUUACAAACAUCGGAACAACUUGAGGUCAGCUGCACUAGAUAAGAUGUUUCAGCAGACAGAAGACAUCGCUUAUCGCUAUAUCAAAGCUUUCAUGCUGUUGGAAGGCCUGUCAAAGAUCCUCCAGGACCCAGCUGAUAUCGAGAACGUUACAAAAUGCAAGCGUGGACCGGAGGAUCUCUGCUUUGUGUUACUGCACCGUUACUUUGUAUGAAUAGAGUCUCAUCUGAAACUUCAUUGAUACGCACAACCGGCGCAACGUCAUAGAAUGUCUCUGAACAGGUUCACGCCCACUUUUGGGGGAAAUCACAUUCCAUUGGCUUCCAUUCAAAAU